GCGCUCGUAGCUCAACUGGAUAGAGCGACAGACUUCGGAUCUGUAGGUUAUGGGUUCGAUUCCUAUCGGGCGCACCA
This 77-nucleotide transfer RNA is filed under the name Campylobacter coli. Its description in RNAcentral is "tRNA-Arg". It matches the Rfam family "tRNA". From Rfam's summary of the family: Transfer RNA (tRNA) molecules are approximately 80 nucleotides in length. Their secondary structure includes four short double-helical elements and three loops (D, anti-codon, and T loops). Further hydrogen bonds mediate the characteristic L-shaped molecular structure. tRNAs have two regions of fundamental functional importance: the anti-codon, which is responsible for specific mRNA codon recognition, and the 3' end, to which the tRNAs corresponding amino acid is attached (by aminoacyl-tRNA synthetases). tRNAs cope with the degeneracy of the genetic code in two manners: having more than one tRNA (with a specific anti-codon) for a particular amino acid; and 'wobble' base-pairing, i.e. permitting non-standard base-pairing at the 3rd anti-codon position. The record is from RNAcentral. RNAcentral also lists the same sequence under 261 other names. Lineage: Bacteria; Pseudomonadati; Campylobacterota; Epsilonproteobacteria; Campylobacterales; Campylobacteraceae.